This is a long non-coding RNA of Hyla sarda, 1003 nucleotides long. RefSeq lists it as uncharacterized. The transcript is spliced from 5 exons. Lineage: Eukaryota; Metazoa; Chordata; Amphibia; Anura; Hylidae. The record is from RefSeq and is a predicted model, not a curated record.
CUGUUUGAAAAACACAGAUAUAGUUAUUUGUGUGUGUGAAUGUACCUUAUCAUGAUAAACACAUUCCCCUAUACAGGAACUUCUUUCUGGGCCUCCACAGCACAGCAGUCAGGCUCCUCCCACCCAUGUGACUGAUCACAUGGUAAGGACAUCAUCUAAGAUUCUCUACCAUCCCAUACACAGCCCAAUGUUCGGCAGUAAAUCGCUCCACUGUGCUGCUGUUGCUGCUGCCUGAAACCUCUGCUGGUACAGGGAGGAGAGGACAGAUGCAGUAUUUUACGCCUUUGGAUCUGAUAAUAAGGCGGAGUGACUUCAUAUUGGUAUAGGAACCCCGGUGGAUGUGGAUCCACUGGAAAUGUGUGGCAGAUGACUCGGACUGUACCAGGGAGUGGAGUCUAAGGUACCGCUGGUUUUCACCAGAGCCCGCCACAAAGCAGGAUGGACUUUUAAUGUGGGAGCACAUCUGAACGUUAGUCCUGGUUUAUCUGGAGAGAGAUCCCCACUUGUGGCUUAUCAAGACAUUUGUCCUGGUUACUGUAUGCGGCUCCAGAUCAGAUCUUUACUUCACUGAACCUUUCAAUACAUCCGAGGUGCUUUGAUGUUGCACUGUGAGCGCCGCGGCAAAAGGAAUUCUUAACAAAAAGAAAAGGAAUAGACACAAAAUGUUUAAUAUGAUGUAUGUUACAAUACUCAAGGAAGCUGUAGGCUGCAUUUGUCGGAAAUGACUGCAGAUAAGUUGUAAAAUGAAAAAGAUAAUAAAGAACUUGUUUAAAAAGUUUUCUUUGUUAUAAUCUGUAAUGGGACCUGCAGUGCCCCCACAGGGAACGUGAAGAAUUACAAAUGUUUGAUCCUCCAGAGAUAAAGAGACUUGCUUUGUAACCACUCAGCUCCGUCUAUAGUAAUUGAUGGAGGUUAAAUAGAUGGAAUCUCAGGGUUCAUUCACAUUACAGAAUUUCUAUCCGGAAGUCUUCUGAGUGGAGACUUCAUCUGCUGCUGCGACUCA